CCCUUAGAUGUUCUGGGCUGCACGCGCGCUACACUGACGCACGCAACAGGUGCCUGCUCCGAGAGGACUGGGUAAUCAUUUGAGUGUGCGUCGUGAUGGGGAUAGAAUAUUGUAAUUAUUACUCUUCUACGAGGAAUUCCUAGUAAGCGCCAGUCAGCAGCUUGCGCUGAUUACGUCCCUGCCCUUUGUACACACCGCCCGUCGCUCCUACCGAUGGGUGAUCCGGUGAAUGAUUCGGACUUCAGCGGCUCCCCUGGGGUGCGCCGGAGAAAGUUUUGUGAACCUUAUCACUUGGAGGAAGGAGAAGUCGUAACA
RNAcentral lists this ribosomal RNA (315 nucleotides) under uncultured eukaryote. Its description in RNAcentral is "partial 18S ribosomal RNA". It matches the Rfam family "Eukaryotic small subunit ribosomal RNA", at positions 1470 to 1796 of the family's 1831-position model. The record is from RNAcentral.